AGGAAAAGAAACUAACAAGGAUUCCCCUAGUAACGGCGAGUGAAGAGGGAAAAGCUCAAAUUUUGAAUCUGGUGUCUUUGACCCCCGAGUUGUAAUCUAGAGAAGUGUUUUCCGCUCUGGA
This 121-nucleotide ribosomal RNA is filed under the name uncultured Sebacinaceae. Its description in RNAcentral is "partial 28S ribosomal RNA". It matches the Rfam family "Eukaryotic large subunit ribosomal RNA", at positions 54 to 174 of the family's 3401-position model. The record is from RNAcentral. Lineage: Eukaryota; Fungi; Basidiomycota; Agaricomycetes; Sebacinales; Sebacinaceae.